RNAcentral lists this long non-coding RNA (830 nucleotides) under Homo sapiens (human). RNAcentral describes it as "HSALNT0377988". The record is from RNAcentral. Lineage: Eukaryota; Metazoa; Chordata; Mammalia; Primates; Hominidae.
UACAGAUGGGGUUUCACCAUGUUAGCCAGGAUGGUCUCGAUCUCCUAACCUUGCGAUCCGCCCGCCUUGGCCUCCAAAAGUGCUGGGAUUACAGGUGUGAGCCACCGCGCCUGGCCUGCUUGUUCAUUUUCUUAAAAGUGGAUGAUGGAGAUUCCCGAGUGAAAUGUCUGAAGACUGCUGCCUUGGGAACAGGAGCCACGGGACACUUUCUGCCUCCGGCUGCCGGCGGGUAACUCGGGCCUGGAUGGACUUCCCUGCCAGCUUGUUUCCCAAAUUGCCGCGCGGGCCCAGAAAAGAGAUGAGAGCAUAAACCCCUAGGGGGCGCAGUCCCCAGGAUCCCUGUCUUCAUGGAGUGGGGCUCAUGGGGUCAGGGCUUGGGUCAACUCCACUCCAUAGCACGAAAUGACUUCCUGGAGUCACGUGCGUGGGGGAGGCUUAGCCCCUGAAGGAGAGCCACCUCUCUUCAGUGACUGAUUGACUGUGCACGUGAAAUAUUUUAUUUUUUCUAUUUACUCUCACAGAUUUGGGUUUUCCCUCCUCUCAUCCUUCUCUCCCAGCCACACUCAGGCCUGGGGCUCCAUUCUGCUGCCCACAAGGUACGAAGUGGGUUAGAAGCAGCAAGGGGACCCACAGGCAAAAAUACUCCUGGGAGACAGUGGCGAGGGGCACAUGUUCCCCGGGGCUACUAGGAAGUGGCCCCAGAUAACGUCUCAGCUGAUGACAGACUUUUAAUCACUAAAAGGUAAACACUAAUGUGCAGGAAUCCUGUUUGUUUGCUCACAGAUGUACCUGACACACAGUAAGUGCUCAGUAAAUGUUUGUAGAGUGAC